CAGUAGCCGCGGGAAUACGAGGGGGGUAAGCGUUGUUCGGAAUUAUUGGGCGUAAAGGGUGCGUAGGCGGCUUGACAAGUCUUGUGUGAAAUCUAUGGGCUCAACCCAUAGUCUGCACGGGAAACUGUCGGGCUUGAGAAUGGGAGAGGUGAGUGGAAUUUCCGGUGUAGCGGUGAAAUGCGUAGAUAUCGGAAGGAACACCAGUGGCGAAGGCGGCUACCUGGACAAAUACUGACGCUGAGGCGCGAAAGCGUGGGGAGCAAACAGGAUUAGAUACCCCUGUAGUCCCUGUCUCUUAUAC
This 301-nucleotide ribosomal RNA is filed under the name uncultured bacterium. RNAcentral describes it as "partial 16S ribosomal RNA". It matches the Rfam family "Bacterial small subunit ribosomal RNA", at positions 509 to 807 of the family's 1533-position model. The record is from RNAcentral.